This 441-nucleotide ribosomal RNA is filed under the name uncultured bacterium. RNAcentral's name for it is "partial 16S ribosomal RNA". It matches the Rfam family "Bacterial small subunit ribosomal RNA", at positions 339 to 795 of the family's 1533-position model. The record is from RNAcentral.
CUACGGGCUGCUCCAGUGGGGAAUAUUGGGCAAUGGGCGCAAGCCUGACCCAGCAACGCCGCGUGAGGGAAGAAGGUUUUCGGAUUGUAAACCUCUGUCCUUGGGGACGAAGAAGUGACGGUACCCAAGGAGGAAGCUCCGGCUAACUACGUGCCAGCAGCCGUGGUAAUACGUAGGGAGCAAGCGUUGUCCGGAAUUACUGGGCGUAAAGGGUGCGUAGGCGGCAUAUUAAGUCAGGUGUGAAAUACUCGGGCUCAACCCGGGGGCUGCAUUUGAAACUGAUAUGCUUGAGUGUGAGAGAGGAAAGUGGAAUUCCUAGUGUAGCGGUGGAAUGCGUAGAUAUUAGGAGGAACACCAGUGGCGAAGGCGACUUUCUGGCUCAUAACUGACGCUGAGGCACGAAAGCGUGGGGAGCAAACAGGAUUAGAUACCCCCGUAGUC